This 465-nucleotide ribosomal RNA is filed under the name Vreelandella stevensii. RNAcentral describes it as "partial 16S ribosomal RNA". It matches the Rfam family "Bacterial small subunit ribosomal RNA", at positions 338 to 795 of the family's 1533-position model. The record is from RNAcentral. Lineage: Bacteria; Pseudomonadati; Pseudomonadota; Gammaproteobacteria; Oceanospirillales; Halomonadaceae.
CCUACGGGAGGCUGCAGUGGGGAAUAUUGGACAAUGGGGGGAACCCUGAUCCAGCCAUGCCGCGUGUGUGAAGAAGGCCCUCGGGUUGUAAAGCACUUUCAGUGAGGAAGAACGCCUGGUGGUUAAUACCCAUCAGGAAAGACAUCACUCACAGAAGAAGCACCGGCUAACUCCGUGCCAGCAGCCGCGGUAAUACGGAGGGUGCGAGCGUUAAUCGGAAUUACUGGGCGUAAAGCGCGCGUAGGUGGCUUGAUAAGCCGGUUGUGAAAGCCCCGGGCUCAACCUGGGAACGGCAUCCGGAACUGUCAAGCUAGAGUGCAGGAGAGGAAGGUAGAAUUCCCGGUGUAGCGGUGAAAUGCGUAGAGAUCGGGAGGAAUACCAGUGGCGAAGGCGGCCUUCUGGACUGACACUGACACUGAGGUGCGAAAGCGUGGGUAGCAAACAGGAUUAGAUACUCGUGUAGUC